AAUCUGGGGCCUUCGGCCUCCGAGUUGUAAUUUGGAGAGGCAUCUUCGGGGGGGAGCGCCGGCCCAAGUUCCUUGGAACAGGACGUCGCAGAGGGUGAGAAUCCCGUGCCAGGCCGGCAGCCUCCUCCCGGGUGAAGGUCCUUCGACGAGUCGAGUUGUUUGGGAAUGCAGCUCCAAGUGGGUGGUAUAUUUCAUCUAAAGCUAAAUACCGGCGGGAGACCGAUAGCGCACAAGUAGAGUGAUCGAAAGAUGAAAAGCACUUUGAAAAUAGAGUCAAAAAGUACGUGAAAUUGUUGAAAGGGAAGCGCUUGAGACCAGACUCAGACCCGGGCAAACACCGCGCCCCCCGGGGCCGUGCAAUUGCCUGGGGCUGGGCCAGCAUCAGUUGGCGUGGCGGGACAAAGGCGGGGGCAAUGUGGCUCCCCUCGGGGAGUGUUAUUAGGCCCCGGCUCAAUGCCGCCGACGUCGACUGAGGACCGCGCCUCGGCUAGGAUGCUGGCUUAAUGGCCUUCAGCGACCCGUCUUGAAACACGGA
This 535-nucleotide ribosomal RNA is filed under the name Helvella philonotis. Its description in RNAcentral is "eukaryotic LSU rRNA". It matches the Rfam family "Eukaryotic large subunit ribosomal RNA", at positions 119 to 665 of the family's 3401-position model. Lineage: Eukaryota; Fungi; Ascomycota; Pezizomycetes; Pezizales; Helvellaceae. The record is from RNAcentral.